GCUGCUUUGGUGGAAAUGGUAGACACGAUGGAUUUAGGUUCCAUUUAAUUUUUUAGUGCAAGUUCAAGCCUUGCAAGCAGUA
This 82-nucleotide transfer RNA is filed under the name Phycisphaerae bacterium. Its description in RNAcentral is "tRNA-Leu". It matches the Rfam family "tRNA". From Rfam's summary of the family: Transfer RNA (tRNA) molecules are approximately 80 nucleotides in length. The record is from RNAcentral. Lineage: Bacteria; Pseudomonadati; Planctomycetota; Phycisphaerae.